Long non-coding RNA from Sapajus apella (tufted capuchin), 317 nucleotides. RefSeq lists it as uncharacterized. NCBI's taxonomy places the organism in Eukaryota, Metazoa, Chordata, Mammalia, Primates, Cebidae. The record is from RefSeq and is a predicted model, not a curated record. The transcript is spliced from 2 exons.
UGGGCGACAGAGCGAGACUCCGUCUCAAAAAAAAAAAAAAAAAAAAAAAAGUAUGAAUGCAUAUUUCUCUCCUUCUCUUAACUGAUUUAAGAAACAAUUGUAUAAGAUUGCCGGGCGCUGCGAUGCGUGCCUGUAGUCCCAGCUACUCCGGAGGCUGAGGUGGGAGGAUCGUUUGAGCCCAGGAAUUCUGGGUUGUAGUGCGCUAUGCCUAUCCAGUGUCCGCACUAAUUUCGGCAUCAGUAUGGUGACCUCCCGGGAGCGGGGGACCACCAGGUUUCCUAAGGAGGGGAUGGGAAGAAUAUUGCUUAAGGAAUAAG